UCAGGCUGGAGUGCAGUGGUGUGAUCAUGGCUCACUGCAGCUUCAACCUCCCAGCCUCAAGCCAUCCUCCCGCCUUAGCCCCCUGAGUAGCUGGGACUAUAGGUGCACACCACCACAUCUGGCUAAUUUUUUUACUUUUUUGUAGAGACUGGGGUCUCUAUGUUACCCAGGAUGGUCUCGAAUUGUUUGGGUUUUUUUUUUUUUUUUUUUUUUUUUUUGAGACAGGAUCUCACCCUGUCACCCAGGCUGGAGUGCAGUGGCGUGAUUUAUUCCUCAUUUUUAGCCUCCCUUUCUUUUCCAGAUUAGGCCCUGAACCAUUGUUUUGCUAUAUCUUAACGCAUGGUCUUGAGAAUAAUGUGAUAUAAUCAGGCCAUAUUCCUUCAAUUUAUUGUUUCUUCUUCAUAAAGUAGAUGAC
This 415-nucleotide long non-coding RNA is filed under the name Pan troglodytes (chimpanzee). RNAcentral's name for it is "long non-coding RNA NONPTRT011278". The record is from RNAcentral. Lineage: Eukaryota; Metazoa; Chordata; Mammalia; Primates; Hominidae.